GCGGUCGUAGCUCAGCUGGAUAGAGCACGAGAUUCCUAAUCUCGGGGUCGUGGGUUCGAAUCCCCCCGAUCGCACCA
RNAcentral lists this transfer RNA (77 nucleotides) under Holosporaceae bacterium. Its description in RNAcentral is "tRNA-Arg". It matches the Rfam family "tRNA". From Rfam's summary of the family: Transfer RNA (tRNA) molecules are approximately 80 nucleotides in length. Their secondary structure includes four short double-helical elements and three loops (D, anti-codon, and T loops). Further hydrogen bonds mediate the characteristic L-shaped molecular structure. tRNAs have two regions of fundamental functional importance: the anti-codon, which is responsible for specific mRNA codon recognition, and the 3' end, to which the tRNAs corresponding amino acid is attached (by aminoacyl-tRNA synthetases). tRNAs cope with the degeneracy of the genetic code in two manners: having more than one tRNA (with a specific anti-codon) for a particular amino acid; and 'wobble' base-pairing, i.e. permitting non-standard base-pairing at the 3rd anti-codon position. The record is from RNAcentral. Lineage: Bacteria; Pseudomonadati; Pseudomonadota; Alphaproteobacteria; Holosporales; Holosporaceae.